GACGAACGCUGGCGGCGUGCUUAACACAUGCAAGUCGAACGGAAAGGCCCUGCCUUUGUGGGGUGCUCGAGUGGCGAACGGGUGAGUAACACGUGAGUAACCUGCCCUUGACUUUGGGAUAACAUCAGGAAACUGGGGCUAAUACCGCAUAGGAGCUCCUGCUGCAUGGUGGGGGUUGGAAAGAUUCGGCGGUUGGGGCUGGACUCGCGGCUUAUCAGCUUGUUGGGGGGGUAGGGGCUUACCAAGGCUUUGACGGGUAGCCGGCCUGGGAGGGGGACCGGCGACAUGGGGACUGAGGUACGGCCCAGACGGCUACGGGAGGCAGUAGUGGGGAAUAUUGCACAAUGGCCGGAAGCCUGAGGCAACGACGCUGCGUGCGGGAUGACGGGUUUCGGGUUGUAAACCGCUGUCGCCUGUGCCGAAGCGGGAGUGACGGUAAUGGGUAAAGAAGCACCGGCUAACUACGUG
Molecule: ribosomal RNA, 468 nt
Filed under: uncultured bacterium
Lineage: Bacteria
Description: partial 16S ribosomal RNA
Rfam family: Bacterial small subunit ribosomal RNA
Source: RNAcentral